GGGAGUGUAGCUCAGUGGUAGAGCUCUUGCCUAGCAUGUACAAGGCCUGGGCCCAGCACUGCCA
RNAcentral lists this transfer RNA (64 nucleotides) under Heterocephalus glaber (naked mole-rat). It matches the Rfam family "tRNA". Rfam says of the family: Transfer RNA (tRNA) molecules are approximately 80 nucleotides in length. Their secondary structure includes four short double-helical elements and three loops (D, anti-codon, and T loops). Lineage: Eukaryota; Metazoa; Chordata; Mammalia; Rodentia; Bathyergidae. The record is from Rfam by way of RNAcentral.